CCAGCAGCCGCGGUAAUUCCAGCUCCAAUAGCGUAUACUAACGUUGUUGCAGUUAAAAAGCUCGUAGUUGGAUUUUUAAGGGUUUCUGCUUCUAGUGACCAUUAGUGUCUCUAAUGUUGCAGACUCCCCUUAUUUUGCCUCAGUGUUCUCUUGGGAUUGAUUUCCUGAAAGUUCUUCUUGGGCGUGUUUACUUUGAGAAAAUUAGAGUGUUCAAAACAGCCUUGUGGUUGUAUAUCAUAGCAUGGAAUAAUAACUGACGACGUCGGUCGUUUUUUGUUGGUUCGGAUGGCUGAUGUAAUGAUUGAUAGAGUUAGUCGGAGGUAUUAGUAUUUUAUCGUUAGAGGUGAAAUUCAUGGAUCGGUAAAAGACUAACAACUGCGAAAGCAUUUAUCUAGGAUUUGCUCUUUGAUCAAGAACGAAAGUUGGGGGAUCGAAGACGAUCAGAUACCGUCGUAGUCUCAACUAUAAACUAUACCAGCUAGGGAUUGGCAAGCGUUGCUUGACCUUGUCAGAACCUUAUGAGAAAUCAAAGCAUUUGGGUUCCGGGGGGGGUAUGGUCGCAAGGCUGAAACUUAAAGGAAUUGACGGAAGGGCACCACAAGUUGUGGAUCCUGUGGCUUAAUUUGACUCAACACGGGAAAACUUACCAGGUCCAGACAUAGUAAGGAUUGACAGAUUGAGAGCUCUUUCUUGAUUCUAUGGGUGGUGGUGCAUGGCCGUUCUUAGUUGGUGGAGUGAUUUGUCUGGUUAAUUCCGAUAACGAACGAGACCUUAACCUACUAAAUAGUUACAUCGAUACUUUUGUAUCGAUGGACAACUUCUUAGAGGGACUAUCGGUGUUCAACCGGUGGAAGUUUGAGGCAAUAACAGGUCUGUGAUGC
Molecule: ribosomal RNA, 881 nt
Filed under: uncultured eukaryote
Lineage: Eukaryota
Description: bacterial SSU rRNA
Rfam family: Eukaryotic small subunit ribosomal RNA
Source: RNAcentral